Molecule: long non-coding RNA, 2347 nt
Filed under: Pollicipes pollicipes
Lineage: Eukaryota; Metazoa; Arthropoda; Thecostraca; Pollicipedomorpha; Pollicipedidae
Description: uncharacterized LOC119095612
Source: RNAcentral
GGAGCCGGAGGGCAGCUCCGGCCCCAGCUCGCCGGCGUCCCCGUCGCCGGUCUCGUCGCCGCAGGGCACGCCCGAGCGGCAGCCUGAGCGACCCUGCUCGUCGCCGCAGGGGCCGUACCGCACGGCUGACCUGCUGCGAGGCUGCGCCGACCUGCCCUUCGCCGACUCAGGCAGUGGGUCGCCGAGCCCGGACGACCUUUCUCUGGAGCUGGAGCGUGCCAAACUGCGUAACGACCCCGGCCUGCUAGCCGUGGCCAACCGUCUGGUGCAGGAUGUCCUGCGUAAGGCGCGCGAGGAGGCCGUCAGGAGACUCAGCCAGGAGGGCAAGACCCGCGGACAGGUGGCUUUCUCCGCAACGGAGGUGCAUCCGGCGACACAUCCUGCGGCACAUCCGCUGAGCGGACAGCGCCGCCCAAGGCCCAACUGGGAGCGUCGACUGCGCGGCGUCUUCUACACAUUCUUCUCCUGCUUCGGCUUGCGGAGAGGUUCGUUCUGAAGACCGUGGACCGCGCCACCAGGACCAGGCUGGCGCGAGUUUUGUGCUCUGAGAAGCAGCUGGCCCAGCAAAGAGGCGGUUUUGGUUAGCGCCACGGAGUGCGGAGCAAGAGGUACCGAUUACGUGCUGAGCACAGCGUGCCUCGCAGUGAGCCCGAUCGCGCGAGCGGCGCCGUUCCGAACACCAUUUCCAUGGCGGUGAUCUGGGGCGAAUGGGAGCGGCAGAUUGUUGGGAACCUCCGAUUGCUGCAAUCUUCUGACUUUGCUGAAGAUGUUCCUGCGAGCCACGGUUCUAGCAAACAUGGAGAGUGGGUCACCUGGACGACACUGAAUCGCACCAGUGGAUUUUUGGACAACCGAGAGCCUCACACUGACAGACGUGUUUCCCUUGAGACGCCCUUCCCUCCCUGGAUGCGUUCCUGAGCAUUAUUUACACUCAAGAGAUCUACAGUCACAUGGAAAUCUGCUUCCAAAGACUCUGGCGCUGGCAUUCCGAUGGUGUCAGGCCCAUGAUGAGGCCCAUGGCUAGUACUGGCGUGUUGCUGUGGCGGCAGCACUUCUGGAUAUUGUGUUGAAGUUCGAAGGAUGUCUGCGGCCCGAUGUAGUUGUAUGCCUCGUGUCAUUCGUCAAGUGUCUCUGAAAAUCUUACAACCGCCCGUGUUUGGUGACCACUUUCAUAGCAAGGAUCCAGUGCCACCCGGCUGGUAAACGGAAAGCCUCUUUGGUUUUCUCGUACAGUAUCAAAAUGAAUGGUGAGGUGCCGGCUCGAGAUAACGAAAGUCUUCGCGACCCCAGCCGGGUGCCUGAGGCUCAUCUGCGCUGCUGCAUUCACUUCCGCUGUGGUCAUGAAUUUGUGGUUGGCCGCGUGGACAGAAUCAUCGUUGGCGCCGCAAGAGUUCUGAACGAAUGCUUGCAAUCGCGAACAACGGUGACAGAUCAGCGUUAGCCGUCUGUUCAGCGUCGCUGGCAGUUCGUCAGCGUGGAAAUCGAUCUCCUCUCCUUGAUCACGCAGGACUCGGCUGAGAUUCAAGCAAUAUGUCUUGUAGUGUCCUUGACCUUCCGAUCGAACGCUGCUAAAUGGUGCUCCACUCAUCGAGCCGAUAUGGGGGGUCCUCGUGCUUCCAGGAAGAUUAGUUUUUGUCAGCACUAGGCACUGGGGGAGAGGCCUUCAAGAGGCGGAUUGGGGUGCCAGCCAGGGGGCGAUCGGCAUUGUGAGGUCACGGCGGUGAGGCCAAAUGCGUAUCGUCUCCCCGGUUUUCGUCAGACGUAUUUCUUACAGGAACGCUUUCUGCCUGAACGUUGGUGACCAUGUGUACCCGCUGUUCCCCGGUAUGUGUCGCGGACCUCACGUGCGCUCUCCAGUGCUUUUGAACCAUCAAAUCACGGAACAAGACGUGGCUUACCUCGUCCUGGUCCGGCUCUGGGCGUCAAAGCGGCUGAGGGGAAGUAUGCAUGAUGUUGGAGACGUGGCUAUGGCGUUCAAUCCACGCGAGGUUGCGAUGUUCCUGCAUUCACGCGUCCCAUCUGUCUUACCGGUCUCGAUGGUCGUCGCCACCCGACGGUCGUCGUUCCCACAGAAGGAAAACCUCAGCAGUGCGUCGCCGUCUUAUUGAAUGUGUUGUCAGCUCUCGUUUGACUGUCAGAGCAUUGCGCCAAGAUCGACUGACCAUCAGAACUGCGAACGAUCGAUGGCAUGAGUGACGCGAUGUCAGCCACUGACAUCGGGAGGGCCUGAACACGAGGCUUUAUGUGGGGACUGAGGGAGAGUGCCAUCACUGCGUCAGGGUGAAGGUCCAGUCGACCGAACCCCUUAGAUGACAAUGCGAGAUGAAUGUUAUUGAUGUUUCUAUAA